This 796-nucleotide ribosomal RNA is filed under the name uncultured bacterium. RNAcentral describes it as "bacterial SSU rRNA". It matches the Rfam family "Bacterial small subunit ribosomal RNA", at positions 8 to 794 of the family's 1533-position model. The record is from RNAcentral.
AGAGUUUGAUCAUGGCUCAGGACGAACGCUGGCGGCGUGCUUAACACAUGCAAGUCGAACGGAAAGGCCCAUACGUUGUGUGGGUGCUCGAGUGGCGAACGGGUGAGUAACACGUGGGUGAUCUGCCUUGUACUCUGGGAUAAGCCUGGGAAACUGGGUCUAAUACUGGAUAGGACUGCAUCGUAGGUGGUGUGGUGGAAAGAUUUUUUUUGGUAUGAGAUGAGCCCGCGGCCUAUCAGCUUGUUGGUGGGGUAAUGGCCUACCAAGGCGGCGACGGGUAGCCGGCCUGAGAGGGUGGACGGCCACAUUGGGACUGAGAUACGGCCCAGACUCCUACGGGAGGCAGCAGUGGGGAAUAUUGCGCAAUGGACGAAAGUCUGACGGAGCAACGCCGCGUGAGUGAUGAAGGCUUACGGGUCGUAAAACUCUGUUGUUAGGGAAGAACAAGUACGAGAGUAACUGCUCGUACAUUGACGGUACCUAACCAGAAAGCCACGGCUAACUACGUGCCAGCAGCCGCGGUAAUACGUAGGUGGCAAGCGUUAUCCGGAAUUAUUGGGCGUAAAGCGCGCGCAGGCGGUUUCUUAAGUCUGAUGUGAAAGCCCACGGCUCAACCGUGGAGGGUCAUUGGAAACUGGGGAACUUGAGUGCAGAAGAGAAAAGCGGAAUUCCACGUGUAGCGGUGAAAUGCGUAGAGAUGUGGAGGAACACCAGUGGCGAAGGCGGCUUUUUGGUCUGUAACUGACGCUGAGGCGCGAAAGCGUGGGGAGCAAACAGGAUUAGAUACCCUGGUAGU